AAUCGAAAAUCAGGUGUUUCAUGUCUGCGUUGCUACAUCCACAGUGCGAACAUUCACUAUUUCGAAUAAUGCCAAGUAUUGCUAGGUGUGACGGUGCAGUAUUAUGGCCAAAACGCAAUCUAUUAAUGGUGGUAAUGUAAUCACGGCUGGCUUCAGGAAGUUUGUUGUACUAAGGUCUUGUUGGAAAAUAUUGUACAAAUUUGGGGGAUAUCCAUUCAACAGUGCUAAUCCUGUGGUUAAAGGCCCAGAAACAUUAAUAUGAUGAGUUACAAUUUUGUUUAUGAUUUGCAUAUUAUUAGAAGAUAAAAGUCUGAGACAAUACCUCUCAAUGAGUAGUAAUUGUCUCAGAAUUACUGGCAUUAUUUUGGUCUACUUCCAUGGCCCUUAUGGGAGUAGAGCACAUAGCACCAGAUAUUAGUCUCAAUGCUGUAUUCUGCACAAUGUCUAGUUUCUUUUUAUGUUUACUAUCAAAGUAAGCUAAAGUGCUGUAAUCAAAAUGACUUCGUACUAUUGAUUUAAAUAACAUGGACAAAAUUUUGGGGUCAGCUCCCUAGGACACACCUGCCAGACAUCUUAUUAUAUUUAAACCUUUCAUAGCAUUGUUUGUUAUGUAUUUAAUAUGCUCUUCAAAAGUCAUCUUCUGGUCAAUGAUGACAUCCAAAAAUUUCUUUGAACUGACUCUAUUUAUGACUUUACCAUUAUAAAGAACAUUGCCAUUUUGUGCAUCAUUGCCAAAAAUCAUUAGACUGCUUUUGGAUGUAUUAAUUAAUAUUUAAAUGUAAUUGCAAUUAAUUAUGUAAUUUGUUAUAAUAUUUUGAUAAUUGGCUUAAAGCUUAAUUAAUGUUAUCUAUUGCUAUUUGGAUAUUUUGGUUGGAGCAGUAUAGCACAAUAUCAUCUGCAAACUGAAGGAUAUUUACAUUUGUAGUAUUUACAUAUCUCACAAACAUACAAAUUAUAUAACAAAGGUGAUAAAGUGGCGCCUUGCAUAGUACCCUUUAAUGUAAUUCUUGGGCUAUAAAGAAUAUUAUUAUGUCUCACAUAUAAGACUCUACUGUGAAGAAAACUGUAAAGCCACUUACAUAGUUGUCCAGGGACACCUAAGUUGGUUAAAAUUUUAACAAGUAUUCCGGGAUCAACAUUAUCAAAAGCUCCUUGAACAUCUAAGAAGACACAAACAGUGUGUGAAUUCAUGUUUUUGGAACAUUUCAGGUCUGUAAUCAGCGAUAUGAAACUGUCAGUGCAACUACACCCACAAAAUGAUACCAUUAGCCUCAACAAACCAAUCAAGACGAGCUUUAAUUAUGUUUUCAAACAGUUUGCCAAAACAUGAGGAUAAAGAAAUUGGACGGUAGGAGCUAGCUGAAUCAGGAGAUUUAUCUGGCUUAAGUAUGGGAAUAACACAUUGUGUUUUCAAUGAGUUGGGUAUUAAUUUCUUGUCCCAUAAAGCAUUAAGAAUAUUUAAAAACACUACCUGUACACACACAUUCAUGUAGUUUUUUAAUCAAAAUAUAUGGGUAAUCAUCUAAGCCGGGAGUAGAAUUGCGUCUAGAUCUCAAACUCAUUGUAAAUUCGGUCCAUAUAAAGUUAUCUAAUAAAUGUUUUGAAUUUC
Molecule: long non-coding RNA, 1609 nt
Organism: Leptidea sinapis
Lineage: Eukaryota; Metazoa; Arthropoda; Insecta; Lepidoptera; Pieridae
Exons: 2
Source: RefSeq, a predicted model, not a curated record